AGGAAGUCCAUGGCUUGCCUGGAUUUUUGUAAUAACACCCUGGGGAGUCCCCUGCUUCUACCCUAGUCUUCACCCAGCAGUGUGCUGGUCCAUUAGAGAUGUGAGUCAUACUGCAUCACUCCUCUGGUCAAACACCGUCAUAAAGAAGCCUGGAAAACUGAUGAUGACAGGUGCAUCCAGGAAGGGAAACACACAGGUGGGAGGAAGGGCACAGAGGUGAAAGGAAGGCUUGCAUUUACUGUAUACCUUUUGCAUCUUAUGAAUUUUUAUAUCAUAUCCGUGUAUUACCAGCCUGAUUAAAUCAUUUUAAUUUAAUUGCCAUUUCACAAAAAUCUCUCCAAUGCUUUCCAUUUCAUGCAGAGUAAAAGUCAAUUCCUUAUAGGGCUUUCAAGGUCUACACUAGGAUGAGUGUAUAAUUUUUCAUUUGAACCGGGACACUUUUGAGAGUGAAAGGUGGUAAUAUACAUGAUUACCACAGAAUAACCAGCAUAAAAUAGAGCAUUCAAGGGCCAACAAGGGUACAGCUAACCCUACUCAUCCCUAGACGCUCUCUCACUUCCUCCUCCUGCUCCCUGUACUCCAGGCAUGUCCGUGGACUUAUACACAGAGCACACCAGGUACUCUCCCACCUCAGGACCUUUGCACUUGAUCGGAUCAUUCUUCUUCUGGACGUCUAAAUCAAUUGCUUGCUCACCUGCUUCAUGUUUUGUUCUCUGACCACCCUAUUCCCUAUUCUUUUCUGCUUUAUUUAUAUCCAUAGAAGGUAUCACCCUCUACUGUAGUAUAUCAUGUGUUUUGUAUUUGUUUCGUGUUGGUCUCUCUCCAUUGAUAUAGAUGUUCCAUAAAGGCAGACUUUUGCUCUAUUUUGCUUAUUGCUGAAUCCCCAGUAUCUCGAUGUACCCGGCAUGUGGCAGGCGCUCAGUAAAUAUUUAUUUAAUGAAUGUUGGAUGUAAUCAAAAAUGCCGACAUCAUCCUAGUCAGUAGACUCAGGGCUGUGUUCCAGGCUGAGUUUCAGGAGCUGGGUCUGAGUGCAGAAGGGCAGGAGACUGAGUGGAGAUGUUGGGGAAAGGGGUCAGGGAGGCUCAGAAAGGCUCCGAAACAGAGAAGGCUAAAAAUUGAAGUAGAAGACCCAAAUAAGUAUCAAAGCCAAGGGUGCAGAUGAAGACACAAGGAGAGGUGGUGAUGCAAGACAUAAUCACAGUGGAAACAAACCCGACUCGUAUCCACAAGCAUAUGGUUUUAAUCCCCGGCCUCCCUCAGUGGGUUAAGGAUCCAGCAUUGCUGUGAGCUGUGGUGUAGGUCACAGACACAGCUCGGAUCUGGCGUUGCUGUGCCUGUGGCUGUGGCCGGCAGCUGCAGCUCCAAUUCAACCCCUAGUCUGGGAACUUCCAUGUAUUGUGUCUACGGCCCUAAAAAAAGAAAAGAAAAGAAAAACACCAUUAGAGGUGACAAGAUACAGGUAGGUUUCAUAAGACGCAUGGCAAGCAGGGCAGUUACAGAAAGACUUUUGCCGUUUAGUACAUGGGUAGGAUUUAUUGGUAAGUGGACUAGAUCAUCUGGAAGAAGUUCAGUGCUUCCCAAACUGUACCUGUGGCUUUGCUCAGGUUUCUAAAAGACUUUUCUAAGGAACAACUGUAGUGGACUUGAACGGUAAUGAACUGAUCUAAUGAGUGAGAGUCAUCUAAAAGAAAGCACAGUUUGAAGGAAUUGGGACAAAUUUAACUAAAGUUGUUUGUAUAACCCUAUUGUACAGUCAGAUGUUUUCUGCGUACUUUUUAAAAGCAGCCCUUGAACACUGCGAAUACCAUACCUGAGAGUCUACUUGUUAUAGGACGAUGUAUGCAGAUAAAUAGAUGGAGCUCAUUCUUGUGUUCAACUUUGCUUCUAUCAGAUUUGUGGAUUAAAGCAGUUCCUAUGUUCUACGGAUGAUGCUAUGGGAAGAAAAUACGGUCUGAAUAGUCAUCUUUUUUCAAAGUUAUUAUAAAAAACAGGGGAGUUCCCGUCGUGGCUCAGUGGUUAACGAAUCCGACUAGGAACCAUGAGGUUGCGGGUUCGAUCCCUGGCCAUGCUCAGUGGGUUAAGGAUCCGGCGUUGCCGUGAGCUGUGGUGUAGGUCGCAGAUGUGGCUCGGAUUCCGCGUUGCUGUGGCUGUGGUGUAGGCUGGUGGCUACAGCUCUGAUUCGAUCCCUAGCCUGGGAACCUCCAUAUGCUGUGGGAAGCGGCCCAAGAAAAAUGGCAAAAAGACAAACAAACAAAAAAAAACAAAGACAUGAAAACAUUCUUUUCUGGCAAGGAGAUAAUUUAAAAGUGUUCGAUUUUCUGAGUGUUUUUAUCACCCUGUGCUAUUAGUAAACUUAUGUUAUUGAGGGGCUUUGGGUGAAUCCCCAUCUGCCCUCAUUUUGAAAGGUGCUUGGUAGGGAUCUUAAUCAACUAAGUUGACGUGUAAUUUAUAUACAGGAAACCACACCCAUGGUUUGAUGAGUUUCCACAACAUGUACACCUAGGAAACCACCAUCACCAUCAAGAUACAGAACAUUCCAUCCGUAAAGGAGUUUCCUGUGUCCCAGUCAUCAAUCCUAUCCUCCGUACAACCACUGAUUUGCUUUCUGCCACUAUAGAUUAAUUCUACAUUUUAUCAAGUUUUAAGUAAAUGGAAUCACACCGGAGGUACCCUUUUGAGCCUGGUUCUUUUGCCCAGCCUUAUGCCUUUGAGACCCAUGCAUGUUGUUACAUAUGUGCAUAGAUUCUUAACUGCUGAGUGGCCUUCCACGGCAUAAAUACGUCCCAUUUUGUUUAUCUGUUCACGUGUUGAUGGCGUUUGGGUAGGUUCCGUUUGGAAGCUCUUAUAAGCACAGGUGUAUGGACGCUCACAUACAGAGUCUUUAUGUGGCUGCAGGUGUUCACUGCUCUGAACACCCAUGGCCACAUAAAGCUGAAAAUGAUAGAGUGGAAAGUAAAAACCUGAAAGUGAAAAUGCUGGCUUUUAGGAGAGGUGCCUGUUUAAUUUUAUAUGGAAAACACAAAGUUUUCCAAGGUGGUGUAUACAUUUUAUGCCUCCACCAGGAAUAUGUGAGCGUUCCAGUUUCUGGGCAUCUUUGCCAAGGUUGGUAUGACCAGCCCCUUCCAUUUUAGGCAUCCUGAUGGGUAUGUGGUGGUACCUCACUGUGGUUUCAAUUGCCAUUCCCCUGAAAACUAAAGGUGUAAAGCAUCCUGUCACAUGCUCAUUGGCUUAUUGUGAGGUGUCUAUUCAAAUAUCUUAUCCCCUUUUAUUGGCUGCUCCUGCAGCAUAUGGAAGUUCCCAGGCUAGAGGGUGAACUGAAGAUGUAGCUGCCAGCCUACACCACAUCCAUAGCAAUGCCAGAUCCGAGCUUCAUCUGCAACCAACACGACAGCUUGUAGCAACACCAGACCCCUAACCCACUGAGCGAAGCCGGGGAUCCAACUCACAUCCUCAUAGACACUCUGUCAGGUUCUUAGCCCACUGAGUCACAAUGGGAACACCUCUUUCUGUGUUUUUAAUAGCAGCAUUUUUAAACUUUAGAUUAAUUCCAGUCAAACAUACCAUAUAACAAUAUAUCAUUUUUUCCUUUUAUGGGUCACACUUUUUGUGUUUUUUCUAAGAAAUCCUUGCCUAUUAGAAAAUGACAAAGAUUUUCCUUCUAUACCUUCCUCUAUAUGUCUUAGAAUUUUACUUUUCACAUAGAGAUCUCUGAUCCAUCUUAUUUUUUAUGUCUGAUAUAAGGUAAAAAUCACGGUUCAUUUGUUAUAUGGAUAUCCAAUUGUUUCAGCACCAUUACUGAAAAACUUACUCUUCACACCAUUUAAUUUCCUUG
RNAcentral lists this long non-coding RNA (3832 nucleotides) under Sus scrofa (pig). RNAcentral describes it as "lncRNA (ENSSSCG00050069701.1)". Lineage: Eukaryota; Metazoa; Chordata; Mammalia; Artiodactyla; Suidae. The record is from RNAcentral.